GGAGCUCUGGCGGCAGCUCCUUGCGCUGUCCGGCGCCGCCUUCCGCGGGGAGCGGCUGUGCCCAUCCGCCGAGCGUUUCUCUGACGUUUUGGCUUCAGUGAGACACCAAUAAGUCGGUCCUGUGGGAGGCCGUCGCUGGGAGCAGGGACAGCCCCGGGGUGGCCAGUGCUGCACCUGAAGCAUCCCUCUGUCAGGUGGCGUCGGCUCUCCCGGGAACCCCGGAGAUGCCCAGCGCGGAGCAUCGCAGGGAGACUGGCCUGUGCCCGGCAGAAGGCAAAGGAGCAUUUCCCUUGUGCUUUCUGGGUCUCUUGUUUUCAGCAAGGAUCCCCUUCUAGAAGCCCUUCUGGAAGCCCCUUGCUCUGGGGAACUGACCAUGUCCGCGCCCAAACCAUCACCGGCCUGGGGCACGAGACGAGGACUGGAUGGAGGAGGCACGUUGCGGGGAGGUGGCUGGGCUGAGAGCACCAGUCUGUAACAGCAGGGAAGCGGGUCGGAGUGUGCCUACUUUGAUGGUAAUUGGAGUCUACUAAUUAAUUAAUUGUGGGCACACACAGCCCACAGCUCUGUGUAAAUUUGAAAAAGGCUUAUCAAAAAGUUUUUAAGUAAAAAAAUACACCUAAAACUAAAUUAGAAUAGUCUCCCAUGGCCAACGGGGCGGGGAUUGUUUGUAGCCACCGAGGACACGGUGUUCAUCUGGAUCAGAGACUUGAGUAGCAGGUCAGGUCUUAAUUUUACUGUUUCUACCAAAGGGGAAACUUCUUUUUUUUUUUUAACUUUUAAAUUUGUUCUAAUUAGUUAUACAUGACAGUAGAAUGCAUUUUGACCCAUUGUACACAAAUGGGACACAACUUCUCCUUCCGCUGGCUGUACAUGGUGCAGAGUCACUCCAGUAGUGCAAUCAGACAUGCAUGUAGGGUAAUAAUGUCUGUCUCAUUCUACUGUCCCAAAGUGGCACCUUUUAACUUGGGAAAAGGCAUAUGUGUCAGAGAGGUUUUAUUUUUAUUUUUAUUGUGAUGCUGGGGUCAAGUUCAGGGCCUCAUGUGUGGUGGACAAGUGCUCUACCACCGAGUUACACUCCCAUCCCAAGAAUUGUUGAUAUUACAAGCAAACAUGUCCUCUUUUAAAAAAAUUUUUUAUAUUUAUUUUUUAGUUGUAGUUGGACGCAACACCUUUCUUUUUUUUAAGAAUUUUUUUUAAUAUUUAUUUUUUAAUUUUCGGCAGACACAACAUCUUUGUUUGUAUGUGGUGCUGAGGAUCGAACCUGGGCCGCACGCAUGCCAGGCGAGCGCGCUACCGCUUGAGCCACAUCCUCAGCCCCAACACCUUUAUUUCACUUGUUUAUUUUUGUAUGUGGUGCUGAGGAUCGAACCCAGGGUCUCCCACAUGCGAAGCAAAUGCUCUACCGCUGAGCCACAACCCCAGCCAUGUCCUCUUUUUUUAAAAAAAUAUUUUUAAGUUUUUGAUGUACCUUUAUUUAGUUUUACGUGGUGCUGAGGAUCAAACUCAGUGCCUCACGCAUGCUAGGCAAGUGCUCUGCCACUGAGGCACAACCCCAGCCCCAACAAACAUGUCCUUGACAGCUAUGAGUUCCUUACUGAAAUAUACUCUGCCCUGUCACACACUGGGUUGGUAAGUAUAUCACAUACUUAAAAGCCAGAAGGUAAAAUGUUUGACUAUGGAGGCCAAGUUAAAAUCUUGUAUCAGAACUGGCGCAGUGGCACAGACUUGUAAUCCCAGCUACUUGGGAGGCCAAGGCAGGAGGAUUGCAAAUUUGAGGCAGCCUGUAUAACUUAGCUAGACCCUGUCUCAAAAUGAAAAAAAUUAGGGGCUGUGGUUGUGGCUCAGUGGAAGAGAACUUGUCUAGCACAUGUGAGGCACUGGGUUUGAUCCUCAGCACCACGUAAACAAAUAAACAAAAUAAAGGUAUUGUGUUCAUCUACAAUUAAAAAUUAUAUAUAUUUACAAAAUAGCUGGGCAUGGUGGCACACGCCUGUAAUCCCAGUGGCUCAGGAGGCUGAGACAGGAAGAUUGCGAGUUCAAAGCCAGCCUCAGCAACUCAGUGAGGCCCUAAGCAACUCAGUGAGACCCUGUCUCUAAAUAAAAUACAAAAUAUGGCUGGGGAUGUGGCUCAGUGGUUGAGUGCCGUGGUAACCCCCCCACCCAAAUAAUAAAUACAUAAAUAAAUAAUAAAUAAAAAUUGUUAAAAGGGCUGGGGAUGUAACUUAGUAAUAGAGCACCCUCAGGUUCAUUCCCCAGUACGAGGGGCUGGGGCAACAUUUACCUUUGUUGCAUAACAAACCACCCCAAAAUUCAGUGGCUUAGGAAGACAGACACUUAGAUGAUUCCCUGGGGGCCCUUCUGGUGUGCUCCUGGCUGCUCUGAUCUCAGCUGGGCUCACCCCGCACCUGCAGUCAGCUGUGGGGGGGUCACGGGCCAGCUGGUCCUCGUGUCUAAGGCAGGUUGCUGUUGGGACAAUGGUGGGACUGUGUCUCAUCUCCAAGCUUGCUCAGCUUGCUCCCAUGGAGUCUCAGAAGCAGUCACAAGAGCACCAGAGCAGAAGUCACAAGGCCUGCAUAGGUCUAGAUGUGGGACCUUGCCACUGUGAUCAAAGCAAGUCCAGGGCAUCCCUGAGCAAACAGGGAGGCAGCGAAGUGCCGUGGCCACCUCUACCAUCACCUCACCUGCAUCCACUCGGAUGGAUUUCAGCUUUGAAAAGAGUUUCUUCAGUUUUGUUUCAGGAUUUGGUGUGGUCUUGGAAUCCAGCCUAAUAAAAGCAUAUUUGGACUCUGGAGAGAGAGGUCACCCAAGACCCUGAAGACAAGUCACUCAAACAAGCUCCUUACUUACCAUCCUUGCAGUGGCAUGCUCAGUGUGAAGAAGUGUUCUCAGUCUGUGUCCUUGGGACUGUCCACAUGGAAAUGUGCAGUCACGGUGCCUCACCCGGCAUGCAGAGAGACCUCCCACACCCAGGGCUACCUGGUACUGUUCCUUCAGCUCUGAAUCAGAUCAGGGGGACAUUGCCCAUGGAUAACCAGUCCUUGGGAGCCUGGCGAGGUGGCUGGUGUUUGCAGGGCAGCCUCCUUCCUUCCUGUAGCCAGCCCCCCCCGCCCCCCAAGACCCUUUCAGCACCAGGCUCAGUGGCCCUCGGCUUGCAAAAUGAGCAUCAGCUCACUGGAAAACCACUUCU
Molecule: long non-coding RNA, 3187 nt
Filed under: Marmota monax (woodchuck)
Lineage: Eukaryota; Metazoa; Chordata; Mammalia; Rodentia; Sciuridae
Source: RNAcentral